GCCCCCGUAGUAUAAAUCAAUACACCAGUCUUGUAAACUGGAAACGGACACCUUUCCCUGGGGCA
Molecule: transfer RNA, 65 nt
Filed under: Trachypithecus pileatus
Lineage: Eukaryota; Metazoa; Chordata; Mammalia; Primates; Cercopithecidae
Description: tRNA-Thr
Source: RNAcentral